This 406-nucleotide ribosomal RNA is filed under the name uncultured bacterium. RNAcentral's name for it is "partial 16S ribosomal RNA". It matches the Rfam family "Bacterial small subunit ribosomal RNA", at positions 30 to 526 of the family's 1533-position model. The record is from RNAcentral.
AUUGAACGCUGGCGGCAGGCCUAACACAUGCAAGUCGAACGAGGGGCGGACGGGUGAGUAAUGUCUGGGAAACUGCCUGAUGGAGGGGGAUAACUACUGGAAACGGUAGCUAAUACCGCAUACCAUCGGAGGUGCCCAGAUGGGAUUAGCUAGUAGGUGGGGGAAAGGCUCACAUAGGCGACGAUCCCUAGCUGGUCUGAGGGGAUGACCAGCCACACUGGAACUGAGACACGGUCCCGCCUCCUACGGGAGGCCGCAGUGGGGAAUAUUGCACACUGGGCGCAAGCCUUGUGCAGCCAUGCCGCGUGUAUGAAGAAUGCCUUCGGGUUUUAAAGUCCUUUCAGCGGUGAGGCGUUACCCGCAGAAGAAGCACCGGCUAACUCCGUGCCAGCAGCCGCGGUAAUAC